This 223-nucleotide ribosomal RNA is filed under the name Staphylococcus chromogenes. RNAcentral describes it as "partial 16S ribosomal RNA". It matches the Rfam family "Bacterial small subunit ribosomal RNA", at positions 356 to 571 of the family's 1533-position model. Lineage: Bacteria; Bacillati; Bacillota; Bacilli; Caryophanales; Staphylococcaceae. The record is from RNAcentral.
AGGGAAUCUUCCGCAAUGGGCGAAAGCCUGACGGAGCAACGCCGCGUGAGUGAUGAAGGUCUUCGGAUCGUAAAGCUCUGUUGUUAGGGAAGAACAAAUGUGUAAGUAACUAUGCACAUCUUGACGGUACCUAACCAGAAAGCCACGGCUAACUACGUGCCAGCAGCCGCGGUAAUACGUAGGUGGCAAGCGUUAUCCGGAAUUAUUGGGCGUAAAGCGCGCG